This is a long non-coding RNA of Xenopus tropicalis (tropical clawed frog), 756 nucleotides long. RefSeq lists it as uncharacterized. The transcript has 3 exons. Lineage: Eukaryota; Metazoa; Chordata; Amphibia; Anura; Pipidae. The record is from RefSeq and is a predicted model, not a curated record.
GGCCAUACAGAGAAGCUUAGCUUCUGCCAAUAAAGUGACACGUACUACCUUAGUGUUCAUAGGCAGAUAAAGCUGAGGCAGAAUCAAUAACAGAAUUAAGCAGCUGAGUGGGACAUAUAAAUCAGCAGGAUCCCAGUACUUAAAAGGAUGUAACUUUAACUAAAUUGGCAAGAGCGAUAAAGAAUGAAGGCAGACCAUAUUUUAAGGUUUGGCUGCCACCCGAUGAUGGGAAUUACAAAUCAACAACAGCUGGAGAGAACCCUGAUGUAAAUAAGAGUGAAAAUAUCCAACCUCAAUACAGAAGACUGCCCUAUGCUGCUUGUGUGUGCCAUACUCUGCCUGCCUACCCAGCACCACAUCAUCAAAUCAUUAUCACAAACAAUGACAAGAAAUCCAGUGACAUGAUAUACACCAGAACUGCAGCUAUUUGCAAAGACUUCCGAUUGUACCUUUAAAUGAAUGAAGACCAUAGCUCAAAUCAUUCCGACAAACACUUGGCAAGGAACAGGCAAUAUGCUAUUAAACUGAUUACUGCAAAGUCCUUUUGCAAAAUUUCUGCAGUUCAGCAUUCAAUUAUUCUAAUGUGUAUUUACCAACAAUUGAUAUGUUUAUGUUUUUAAUUACCUCCAUGUAGCUAAAACUGCUUAUGCCUUACAUUAUGUGCUGUAAUAUUUGUAUGUCACAGUACAGCGAGAUUCAGCAGGAUUAGCAAAAUAACAGCAACUAAUAUUACAGACGAAUGGAAAGACUUACUGA